GGGAUCGCGGGGCUUCAUGCGGUGAGAGCCGUUACCUUGCCGGCUUGGGUGGCGGCCGUCAAGCACGGGCAGACGAAUCCAUGACCUACUGGAUCUCCACAGGAGUCUUGACGUCUGAUGAAUAGCUAAACCUCACUCUGUGAACUUAGUUGGAGGGCUGUGGCUUUACAAUUGUUCUUUCUAACAGGACAUUGUAGUCAGUAACAGCAUCACUAACACAGAUCAGUUUCUAGAUGCCAUUCAAAGGACAUGGAUCCUCUCACUCAAUCCUACAGUAAUCUACAAGAAAAAAGAAAGGAAGGAAAGAAGGAAGAAAUAAAGGAAGAAGGAAGGAAAGGAAUACCAAAGGGGACCACCUGGAACUGAAACAAGACAGGACUAGAACGACUACAAGAACCCACCAAAUCACCAGUGAGUGCAAACACAUGUGGCUGGUGACAGAGAGGAGCCUAGGGAGAGACUAAGUGGCUGGUAACAGUCCGGCGGUUUAUCA
Long non-coding RNA from Erinaceus europaeus (western European hedgehog), 493 nucleotides. RefSeq lists it as uncharacterized. The record is from RefSeq and is a predicted model, not a curated record. Lineage: Eukaryota; Metazoa; Chordata; Mammalia; Eulipotyphla; Erinaceidae. The transcript has 4 exons.